Molecule: ribosomal RNA, 812 nt
Filed under: uncultured bacterium
Lineage: Bacteria
Description: bacterial SSU rRNA
Rfam family: Bacterial small subunit ribosomal RNA
Source: RNAcentral
CAGGAUCUAAGGUGUUGUAACGGCCUGGUAGGCGGAGAGGCAAGCUAGAAGUGACAUCCCAGCUUCAACCCGCGAACUGCUUUCGCAACUGUAUCCCCUUGAGUAUCGGAGAGCCACGCGGAAUUCCCUAGUGCAGCCGUUGAAAAGGGUAGAUUUUUUGGAGGAACAUUAUUGGCGAAGGUGUGCUUGCUCGGACGACAAACGACGCUGAGGCGCGAAGGGUUGCGGAGCACAAACGAGUAGAUACCCUGGUAGUUCACGCCGUAUACGAUGAAUAUUAGGUGUGGGAGGAGUGACCCCCUCCGUGCCGCAGUUAACACAAUAAGUAUUUCACCCUGGGGAGUAGGGCCGCACGGCUGAAACUCAAAGGAAUUGACGGCGGCCCGCACAACCACUGGAUUAUGUGGUUUAAUUAGACGCAACGCGAAGAACCUUACCAGGACUUGACAUCCAACUAACGAAGUAGAGAUACAUUAGGUGCCCUUCGGGGAAAGUUGAGACAGGUGGUGCAUGGUUGUCGUCAGCUCGUGUCGUGAGAUGUUGGGUUAAGUCCCGCAACGAGCGCAACCCCUAUUGUUAGUUGCUACGCAAGAGCACUCUAGCGAGACUGCCGUUGACAAAACGGAGGAAGGCGGGGACGACGUCAAAUCAUCAUGCCCCUUAUGUCCUGGGCUACACACGUAAUACAAUGGCCGUCAACAAUGGGAAGCAAAACCGCGAGGUAGAGCAAAUCCCCAAAAACGGUCUCAGUUCGGAUUGCAGGCUGCAACUCGCCUGCAUGAAGCUGGAAUUGCUAGUAAUCGUGGAUCAGC